This 274-nucleotide ribosomal RNA is filed under the name uncultured bacterium. RNAcentral's name for it is "partial 16S ribosomal RNA". It matches the Rfam family "Archaeal small subunit ribosomal RNA", at positions 473 to 747 of the family's 1478-position model. The record is from RNAcentral.
AAACCAGCACCUCAAGUGGUCAGGAUGAUUAUGGGGCCUAAAGCAUCCGUAGCCUGCUCUGUAAGUUUUCGGUUAAAUCUGUACGCUUAACGUACAGGCUGCCGGGAAUACUGCAGAGCUAGGGAGUGGGAGAGGUAGACGGUACUCGGGAGGAAGUGGUAAAAUGCUUUGAUCUCUCGAUGACCACCUGUGGCGAAGGCGGUCUACCAGAACACGUCCGACGGUGAGGGAUGAAAGCUGGGGGAGCAAACCGGAUUAGAAACCCGAGUAGUCC